AACGAACGCUGGCGGCAUGCCUAACACAUGCAAGUCGAACGAGACCUUCGGGUCUAGUGGCGCACGGGUGCGUAACGCGUGGGAACCUGCCCUUAGGCUCGGAAUAACUCCCCGAAAGGGGUGCUAAUAUCGGAUAAUGUCUUCGGACCAAAGAUUUAUCGCCUUUGGAUGGGCCCGCGUUGUAUUAGCUAGUUGGUAGGGUAAAAGCCUACCAAGGCGACGAUCCAUAGCUGGUCUGAGAGGAUGAUCAGCCACACUGGGACUGAGACACGGCCCAGACUCCUACGGGAGGCAGCAGUGGGGAAUAUUGGACAAUGGGCGAAAGCCUGAUCCAGCGAUGCCGCGUGAGUGAUGAAGGCCUUAGGGUUGUAAAGCUCUUUUACCCGGGAUGAUAAUGACAGUACCGGGAGAAUAAGCUCCGGCUAACUCCGUG
Molecule: ribosomal RNA, 433 nt
Filed under: uncultured bacterium
Lineage: Bacteria
Description: partial 16S ribosomal RNA
Rfam family: Bacterial small subunit ribosomal RNA
Source: RNAcentral